GCCUGGCUGGCUCAGUCAGUAGAGCAUGAGAUUCUUGAUCUCAGGGUCGUGAGUUCAAGCCCCAUGGCGGCA
RNAcentral lists this transfer RNA (72 nucleotides) under Ailuropoda melanoleuca (giant panda). It matches the Rfam family "tRNA". From Rfam's summary of the family: Transfer RNA (tRNA) molecules are approximately 80 nucleotides in length. Their secondary structure includes four short double-helical elements and three loops (D, anti-codon, and T loops). Further hydrogen bonds mediate the characteristic L-shaped molecular structure. tRNAs have two regions of fundamental functional importance: the anti-codon, which is responsible for specific mRNA codon recognition, and the 3' end, to which the tRNAs corresponding amino acid is attached (by aminoacyl-tRNA synthetases). tRNAs cope with the degeneracy of the genetic code in two manners: having more than one tRNA (with a specific anti-codon) for a particular amino acid; and 'wobble' base-pairing, i.e. permitting non-standard base-pairing at the 3rd anti-codon position. The record is from Rfam by way of RNAcentral. Lineage: Eukaryota; Metazoa; Chordata; Mammalia; Carnivora; Ursidae.